Molecule: ribosomal RNA, 286 nt
Filed under: Loma lingcodae
Lineage: Eukaryota; Fungi; Microsporidia; Glugeidae
Description: partial large subunit ribosomal RNA
Rfam family: Bacterial large subunit ribosomal RNA
Source: RNAcentral
CUCUGCGCAAGGGAUCUUUUGGUUCGCUAGACGAAGCAGGGCGCAGCGGAAUGCGAAAUGUGCAGGAGUCGCAGCGAAGAUAGCACAUGCCUGAAAUCACGAGAGUGUGAGACUACUCCUUUGAAUUAAGCAUAUGAGUAAAGGGAGGAAAAGAAACUAACAAGGAUUCCUGUAGUAGCGGCGAGCGAAGAAGGAACAGCCCCGAGUGUAAUCACAAAUAUGUGAGAUGUCAUUAAUCUAUAGAACGAUGUUGAAACUUCGGCCUGAGAGGGUGAUAGCCCCGUAA